This 341-nucleotide long non-coding RNA is filed under the name Elaeis guineensis (African oil palm). RNAcentral describes it as "long non-coding RNA (EGUI_LNC081136)". Lineage: Eukaryota; Viridiplantae; Streptophyta; Magnoliopsida; Arecales; Arecaceae. The record is from RNAcentral.
CUGGAUUAUUACGGACUUUGUCCGAUGCAACUGGCGUCGAACUCCGUUCGACUAAUAAUCAGCUUCGCUUUGUUGUGUCAGCUUCUGCCGACCAACCCUCGCAUCUCGCUCUUCCGGGUAUUUUUUGUGCUCCGACCCCACCCUAAGGCCCGAGGGUGGUGGCUCUUCAACCCUCGGAAGGGUCUUUCCUUCAUCACUGGUCUUCCAUCGUCCAUCCACGGGUGGAAGAAUCAGUUUUUCUUCGUCUCAUCUUCUUCUCCCUGGGGCUUCUCUUCUCGCUGGGGCGUGCCCCGAACCGAAGCAAACGAGAACAGUCGGGUGGAGGUGGACGACCGGGAGGA